RNAcentral lists this unclassified non-coding RNA (247 nucleotides) under Hevea brasiliensis (rubber tree). Lineage: Eukaryota; Viridiplantae; Streptophyta; Magnoliopsida; Malpighiales; Euphorbiaceae. The record is from RNAcentral.
GAUUGCCCUCUGUAAAGACUAGCCUGUUGAGGCAUAAUUCAUUUUCAUGAAAAUGCAUCAUCCCAAAAGUAAUUCAAUGAAAUCUUGAAGCAAUUGUGUAGCAUUGACAUUUGAAACAAGGAUUUGGGAACUGGUGUUCAAUUCUUGAAUAGUAAAGAAUGUAGAAAGAACAUAGUUAUUUUGUGAACAAUAAUAAGUCUCCAAGCAAUGAAAAUUCAAUAAUUUUCUUUGCAGAAGGGCUACAAAU